Molecule: RNA transcript, 1854 nt
Organism: Panicum virgatum (switchgrass)
Lineage: Eukaryota; Viridiplantae; Streptophyta; Magnoliopsida; Poales; Poaceae
Gene name: chromatin modification-related protein EAF1 A-like
Exons: 2
Source: RefSeq, a predicted model, not a curated record
GUUGCUGUUAUGAAGUUAACUUCAUCAUUUGCUCAAGGAAAGUGAUGGUCAGUUGAAGAGUUUUUAUUUGUGUUUUUUUACAAUUACUAAUACUAUUGUUUAUUUCGUGUAGCCUGGCCAGAAUUCGGAAGAGCAUAGACAGAUGAUGAUGCCGGAGUUUCAAUUACAGGUUUCACAAGGAAAUAGCCAUGCUGUCCAUUUCAGCGGUCCACCAUUUUCCAACACUGGAGCAUCUUCACCUGUUCAAUCUUUCCCCAUCCAGCAGUCCCAACCACAUCAGAUGCCACUACAGUCACACAUGUAUGGAAACACUCACCUUUCUCAUACCCAAGGAACAAACCAGUCAAAUCCACAGCAGCAGCAGGCUUAUGCUAUACGCUUGGCUAAAGAGAGACAUAUUCAACAAAUGCUGCCCCAACAACAGCGGCCACUACCUGGAGCCAAUGCAGUGCCAACUGUGCAGAAUGGCUCACAAAUGCAACAGCAGAGCCAAGGAUCUGCAGCCGCUGUAAUCCCAGCUUCACAGCCACAGCAUAAACAGCAGCAUCCUACACAGAAUCCACUAGGUAACCCGAUGCUUUCCCAUCAACCUUCUGCCCCUACAUCGCAUAAACAGAAAAAGCAACAGGGCCAGCAGCAGCCUAGACAAAAUCAACAACAACGGAAUCAAGGUAGUCAGCAAGCUAAGCUUAUGAAGAGCUUAGGGCGGGGGAACAUGAUGCACCAAAGUCCUGUGGAUGCUACUCAAGCUAGUGGCAUUUCUACAACCUGUAAAAACCAAGUUCCUGAUAAGAAUGUGCGGCAACAGAGUCCAGGGCAUUUUGUUGGUAAUAAGGGAUCAAUACCUCAACCUGGGAGUCAACCAAAGGUAUAUACUUCUCAGAUGCCUCUGUCUCCUAUGCAGACACCAGAUAUUAAUAAUCAGGGCGCAGUAAAGGGUUCUUCCAACCAUACAUUGUUAACUUCCCAACAAGGCCCACUUCAUUCACCUUCACAUUUGGCUACACAACAGCAGCUAUGAUACAUGAACCCUUCACAGAAUAAUAUCCAAAGGUUAAUGAUGCAACAAAAUCGCCAUAUGAACACAGAUGGCAGGGCUGAAUUACCUGUUGACCAAGUACAACAUAACCAGGUAAUAUCAUCUCCCUCACUUGCAAGAAGUACGGACUCAGGUAGCCCAGGCAUCUCGUCUAUAAGCCAGCGGAAACAAGAGUCGUCCCACGAUCCAAGCGCAGUUACCUCAACCUCCCAGCUAGCUAGCUCACCCCAGGACACCUUUGUUGGAAGUGAUAAGCUAUUGCCAUCAUCUAGCCAAAGCAUGCUGCAAAGGCAAAUGUCCGGUGGUGUGCCUAUACAUGGACAUUCCAUUGGUGGUCAGCUGCAGCAACAACAGCCUCGGCAGCAGCAGCAGAGGCCUGUUGUUCAAGGCAGUGUAUACGCUCAUCCUUCAAAUUCUGGACCAGGAUGGACUACGAUGGGCCUCUAUUUUUGAGGAGCCUCCCUCCCCCUUGUAAAGUUACUGUACAGGUGUCCGUGCUGUGGAAGAUGUGCGGAUGAUAGCGCUCUUUAUUCCUCAACUUUGAGCUAAUUGUAGCCACCUCAGUGUCAGGUAGAUAAUUAUUCCCGUACCAUUUUGGUGCCACACUGCUACCUUCCAAGUAGUUUGACCCUAGAAUGCUGGAGGUGGUUCUUGUGAGGGCAAAUUUCUUUUGUUGUCGAAUUGUAACCCGACGGUGGGCCCAGUUGUAUAUUUUGCCUUUGAGGUCCAUGUUGUUAGAGACAAAUCUCUUUUGUAUUAACCUGUAUAUUCAGAUCACAAGUCAAUGAAUGCAAAAGCCUCUUUGCGUCAAACUA